UGGGGAAUAUUGGACAAUGGGGGCAACCCUGAUCCAGCCAUGCCGCGUGAGUGAUGAAGGCCUUAGGGUUGUAAAGCUCUUUCAGUGGUGAAGAUAAUGACGGUAACCACAGAAGAAGCCCCGGCUAACUUCGUGCCAGCAGCCGCGGUAAUACGAAGGGGGCUAGCGUUGUUCGGAUUUACUGGGCGUAAAGCGCACGUAGGCGGAUUGGUCAGUUAGGGGUGAAAUCCCGGAGCUCAACUCCGGAACUGCCUUUAAUACUGCCAGUCUAGAGACCGAGAGAGGUGAGUGGAACUCCUAGUGUAGAGGUGGAAUUCGUAGAUAUUAGGAAGAACACCAGUGGCGAAGGCGGCUCACUGGCUCGGUACUGACGCUGAGGUGCGAAAGCGUGGGGAGCAAACAGG
This 404-nucleotide ribosomal RNA is filed under the name uncultured prokaryote. RNAcentral describes it as "bacterial SSU rRNA". It matches the Rfam family "Bacterial small subunit ribosomal RNA", at positions 355 to 776 of the family's 1533-position model. The record is from RNAcentral. RNAcentral also lists the same sequence under 1 other name.